AUGAGACCAAAAUCAUGCAGCUGGUGCAAAUGGUUGAAGAGCAGCUUUCAAUUUACUUUGGGUAUGUCGUUUGCAGGUAUUUUCGGGUAAAUUCGCCCGCCUCCUAAGAGGUUUUAAAUAUCAAAGUCUAGUUUUAACGAGACAGUAGAUGGCAGUAUUGCUGCAUCGCAUGGACAUCACUCACUAUUAAACUCAUGAAGAAGAAACCUUCAGCUGUGAUUGGUUGGAAUUAUCCAUCGAGCGCGAGGAAAACUGACGUUGGAACCAGAGCUGCGCUCCUAUUUCAAAGUUUAGUUGACGUUAGUUAAAGUGUUUUAUUCAACAAACUCGAACUUCGAGUUAAGGGUUUAAAGUCUUUUCCCAGACAUAAACCUCCCUCAAGCAGUUAGGCUGCAGGCACAGAGAGACUGAGAGAUCACCUGAAACAAUUUCUUCUCUCCAAUCAUUACUGGCAUGGAUUCUCCUGUAUACUGGCUGAAAGAUGAAUGCUUGCCAGAAAUUACCUUCCUUGAUGAUACAUGUUAUUCAGAUCACAGUAUGAGUGAUAAAGAAAAUGACUCUGAUGUCCACUCUCCUGUAAAACAUAAUGGGACAACAGCUUCAGACUCUGAUGACAAGAUGGUUGACCUUUCUGAGAGUAUGUAUGCUCCCGUUUGCUUUCUGGAUGUCCGAUACUUCCCAGAAAUAACUCUUCUUGAUGUUACGCGUGAUUCCGAGCUAUUACAAUUUGAGGAAUUAUCCUCCAUGGAGGUCAUACAGGAUAUUUCACCAGUGGAUAGUUUGAAAAACAGCAUGCCUCCCUCGGAGUUCAAUAACCAAAUUGUGGCAGAGCCUUGCAGAUCAGACAUGAUUCAAAGAGAAGAAUUGCCAAGUAGUACUCUUACUGGCAAUGUCACCCACACCACAAUCUCUUUUAGUGAACGAUCUGAUAAGAGUGAGGGGGGAGACAUUAGGCAAACCUCCUUGGAAGUAACUCAGGAUAUUUCUACAAGCAGUGUUUUGGAAAACAGCAGGCCUUCAUUGGAGCCCAGUGGACCAAACAUGGUGAAGAUUCAAACAUCAGCUGAGGAUACAUCUGCUAAUGUUACACACAACAAAAACUCCUCAAGUGACAUGGCUGUUCAGUGUGCUGCAUCACAGUUAUCUACAUCUGAUAUGCAGUGCAACACAAGUUUAAAGAAUGUCACCUUUGAGCUUUAUGUUGAACCUGUGGUGAACUCUAAUACUGUGGAAGCCAACAAUGAAGAGCUACUUACCAGCCAUGAUGUAGAGUUGACUAGCAAUGAGCCACAACCAAGGCCAAAAACAUCUGGGUUUGUGAACGGCGCGUUCACCUCCCUCCAGGCCGCGCAGUUGAGUUCCUCCACCGAUUUGAGCACCACUGCUCAAAUACAAUGCCCUCAGAAUAAGACCCUGGAUCUUCCCCAAUUUAAUGUAAACAGUCCCAAUGCGGUUGAGGCUACUUCGGUCUUUAAGAACAUCACCGAAACUUCCCUUGAAAUGAAUCAAAAUUGCUCCGCUGUAAAGACAAGUGGUCCAGGUGAUAUGCAGAACGCCACUUUUGAUAGACAUUCUCUUCAAAAAUCUAGUGUCAAUACUAUUUUAGGGGACGCUGGUGCUACAACCUUUUGCCUCCAAAACAACACUUUCGAUACUAAGCCUCCUCCGAAGCAGAAUGGCACAAUAACUUUGUCAGAAUCAGGCUCAAGUGACGGUAACCAGAACACCUUCGACAAGCCCUCUCCUAAUGCAACAAGUAGCCCUAAAGAAAACAAUUCUGAAGUCCACCAUCCUGAACCGUUUAGACAUAAUGGGACUACAGCUACAGACCCUAAUGCCAAGAUGGUUGACACCCCUGAGAGCACGUUUGAAGCUAAUCCAGCUGUUGCGGUGGCUUCUGGAGCUGGCCGACGUGACACUAAGGAUCAUUCACAAUCAGCUGCUGAAUCCCUUUUGCUUCCUUCGAGUGCUGCAUCCCAGUUGUUGAAACACAAGCCGCCCUCUGCACUUCCAGGGAGGUUUGAGGCGUUGACAUUAGGCCUACCCAUGACGAGACAAAGAACCCUAGCCGAAGCUUUGAGAUAUACUUCUGCUUCUGAUCCUCCCCAGACCACAGGAAUAUCCAGCUCUUACAAGUUACGUGCGACAACAGGAUCCAAGCAACCUCAUUCAGGCUUGCAGAGACCGCAGUUGAGUGGCAUACUGUCAGGCAUCCAGAGAGCUGCAACAGGUCUCAGGCCGCAAUCAGUGAGAAACAACACAUCAGCUUCUUUAAGCUCUAAUAAACUUUGUGGACCUACUACAGCUACUAACCCUAUGACGAAGACUUCACAAGCAAAUAAGCAACGCUUAACCAGAGGGGAAGCUAUGCCAAUAGCAAAGAGAAAGAAAAUUGAUACUCCCUUACCGUAUGGUAGUGGUGAAACCUCACCAUCUUCCUGUGAUGCUGCAAAUGCAUCCAAAAACCUGAAACGGCCCACAACCAGUAAGAGAGCUUUGCCAGCUAAAAACCAAAGGGAUGAUGCUGCAAUGGGAGCCAGUACUGCUGCUGAAAUCUCAACCUCUUGCGAUGCUGUUAGCAGAGCGAAACUGAAACUGCCUGCGAGCAGCCACAAAGCUCUGCUCGCUAAACCCCAAGGCCAUGGUUGCGCCAACUGCGUCAUGCUUGAACAACAACUCAAAAUGCAAUCAGAAGAAAUAAGGAAACUGAAUGAAGAGCUGCUGAAGAAAAGUCCAGUGGCCCCUGGACAUCCAGGACAAGGGCCCAUGAUGAGUGGAGGUCCGACCUUACAGCAGGUCACCAUCGGUGGUGGUUCAAGCCAACAAGCAGGAAAGAUGCUGAGCAGCAUCAAGACAAACCUCAAAUCUGCACCCGGCUCAAUGCAUCCUUACAACCGAUGAGCUCCUUGUUUCUUAAUUCACUAGUUAAGUCAUUAGUCCACUUCUUACUCUGGAAGUUAUGCAGUAAUGUAAAGUAAUGUUUCAUCUGUGAUAUUUUAAUAAAUAUGUGAAGUAUCUGAAGAGUGAAUUGUGCUUUGUAUUUUAUUAUUAUUAUUAUUAUUAUUAUUAUUAUUAUU
RNAcentral lists this long non-coding RNA (3077 nucleotides) under Cottoperca gobio. Its description in RNAcentral is "lncRNA (ENSCGOG00000021052.1)". Lineage: Eukaryota; Metazoa; Chordata; Actinopteri; Perciformes; Bovichtidae. The record is from RNAcentral.